This 482-nucleotide ribosomal RNA is filed under the name uncultured bacterium. Its description in RNAcentral is "partial 16S ribosomal RNA". It matches the Rfam family "Bacterial small subunit ribosomal RNA", at positions 30 to 507 of the family's 1533-position model. The record is from RNAcentral.
AUUGAACGCUGGCGGCAUGCUUUACACAUGCAAGUCGAACGGUAACAGGCCGCAAGGUGCUGACGAGUGGCGAACGGGUGCGUAAUGCAUCGGAACGUGCCCAGUCGUGGGGGAUAACUACUCGAAAGAGUAGCUAAUACCGCAUACGAUCUAUGGAUGAAAGCGGGGGACCGUAAGGCCUCGCGCGAUUGGAGCAGCCGAUGUCAGAUUAGGUAGUUGGUGGGGUAAAGGCUCACCAAGCCAACGAUCUGUAGCUGGUCUGAGAGGACGACCAGCCACACUGGGACUGAGACACGGCCCAGACUCCUACGGGAGGCAGCAGUGGGGAAUUUUGGACAAUGGGCGCAAGCCUGAUCCAGCAAUGCCGCGUGCAGGAAGAAGGCCUUCGGGUUGUAAACUGCUUUUGUACGGAACGAAACGGCUCUGGUUAAUACCCGGGGCUAAUGACGGUACCGUAAGAAUAAGCACCGGCUAACUACGUG